UAAUAGCGUAUAUUAAAGUUGUUGCGGUUAAAAAGCUCGUAGUUGAAUUUAAAUAGUCGCCGUGCGCGCGUCGGGUAAUGCUCGGCUGUGUGUGCGACGGCUAUCUUCUCUACUGUACGUUUGGCGCGCAGACUUUAUUGACUGCGUGUUCAGAUUACAGUUCUUUUACUUUGAGUAAAUUAGAGUGUUCAAAGCAGACGAAAUUUUCGGUCACUGAAUACAUUAGCAUGGGAUAAUGAAAUAGGACUUUAGUGUUAUUUUGUUGGUUUCUAACGUUGAAGUAAUGAUUAAUAGGGACAGUUGGGGGCAUUAGUAUUUAGCUGUCAGAGGUGAAAUUCUUGGAUUUGUUAAAGACUAACUAGUGCGAAAGCAUUUGCCAAGGAUGUUUNCAUUAA
Molecule: ribosomal RNA, 395 nt
Filed under: uncultured eukaryote
Lineage: Eukaryota
Description: partial 18S ribosomal RNA
Rfam family: Eukaryotic small subunit ribosomal RNA
Source: RNAcentral